AUCAUUACCGAGUUAUCCAACUCCCAACCCCUGUGAAUCAUACCUUUAAUUGUUGCUUCGGCGGGACUUCGCGCCCGCCGGGGACCCAAACCUUCUGAAUUUUUUAAUAAGUAUCUUCUGAGUGGUUAAAAAAAAUGAAUCAAAACUUUCAACAACGGAUCUCUUGGUUCUGGCAUCGAUGAAGAACGCAGCGAAAUGCGAUAAGUAAUGUGAAUUGCAGAAUUCAGUGAAUCAUCGAAUCUUUGAACGCACAUUGCGCCCGUCAGUAUUCUGGCGGGCAUGCCUGUUCGAGCGUCCCCCCGCCCCUCAAGUCCCCUGUGGACUUGGUGUUGGGGAUCGGCGAGGCUGGUUUUCCAGCACAGCCGUCCCUUAAAUUAAUUGGCGGUCUCGCCGUGGCCCUCCUCUGCGCAGUAGUAAAGCACUCGCAACAGGAGCCCGGCGCGGUCCACUGCCGUAAAACCCCCCUAAACUUUUAUAGUUGACCUCGAAUCAGGUAGGACUA
This 502-nucleotide ribosomal RNA is filed under the name Metarhizium anisopliae. RNAcentral describes it as "eukaryotic LSU rRNA". The stretch from base 144 to 297 matches the Rfam family "5.8S ribosomal RNA". Lineage: Eukaryota; Fungi; Ascomycota; Sordariomycetes; Hypocreales; Clavicipitaceae. The record is from RNAcentral.